UACGAAGGGGGCUAGCGUUGCUCGGAAUCACUGGGCGUAAAGCGCACGUAGGCGGAUUGCUAAGUCAGGGGUGAAAUCCUGGAGCUCAACUCCAGAACUGCCUUUGAUACUGGCGAUCUCGAGUCCGGGAGAGGUGAGUGGAACUGCGAGUGUAGAGGUGAAAUUCGUAGAUAUUCGCAAGGACACCAGUGGCGAAGGCGGCUCACUGGCCCGGUACUGACGCUGAGGUGCGAAAGCGUGGGGAGCAAACAGG
Molecule: ribosomal RNA, 253 nt
Filed under: uncultured bacterium
Lineage: Bacteria
Description: partial 16S ribosomal RNA
Rfam family: Bacterial small subunit ribosomal RNA
Source: RNAcentral